UAGGUUCCGCUCCCGCAGUCAUACAUGCGGUGGACCGACGUUUUAUAUGCAGGGAGCUCAAGAUAGCCUGUGGAACGGAGAUUCGCGUCCGUUGAUGCGAAAGCCGGAAAGCUGGCUGCGAGCACCCACCUUUCGAGGUGGGUUCACCCUGGACUUGUCGGGGGCGGAGCUUUU
Molecule: non-coding RNA, 174 nt
Filed under: Ellagibacter isourolithinifaciens
Lineage: Bacteria; Bacillati; Actinomycetota; Coriobacteriia; Eggerthellales; Eggerthellaceae
Description: 6S RNA
Rfam family: 6S / SsrS RNA
About the family: E. coli 6S RNA was the first non coding RNA to be sequenced, but its function was unknown until recently. It consists of 184 nucleotides that fold into an extended hairpin structure with a large single-stranded internal bulge. The 6S RNA specifically associates with RNA polymerase holoenzyme containing the sigma70 specificity factor.
Source: RNAcentral